RNAcentral lists this non-coding RNA (151 nucleotides) under Nocardia cyriacigeorgica. Lineage: Bacteria; Bacillati; Actinomycetota; Actinomycetes; Mycobacteriales; Nocardiaceae. RNAcentral also lists the same sequence under 1 other name. The record is from RNAcentral.
ACGACGGCGGCUGUGGGGUGUCACAGUUCGAGGGACAAACGCGUAGGUGACGCGGUAAUCCGGUGCAAUUCCGGAGCGGUCGCGCCACUGUGUUCCAGCCACCGGGUUCGGUGCCGGAAAGCCAGACACCGGCACCUUCGCGACCACUCGA